This 462-nucleotide ribosomal RNA is filed under the name uncultured bacterium. Its description in RNAcentral is "bacterial SSU rRNA". It matches the Rfam family "Bacterial small subunit ribosomal RNA", at positions 520 to 981 of the family's 1533-position model. The record is from RNAcentral.
GUAAUACGGAGGGUGCAAGCGUUAAUCGGAAUUACUGGGCGUAAAGCGCACGCAGGCGGUUUGUUAAGUCAGAUGUGAAAUCCCCGGGCUCAACCUGGGAACUGCAUUUGAAACUGGCAAGCUAGAGUCUCGUAGAGGGGGGUAGAAUUCCAGGUGUAGCGGUGAAAUGCGUAGAGAUCUGGAGGAAUACCGGUGGCGAAGGCGGCCCCCUGGACGAAGACUGACGCUCAGGUGCGAAAGCGUGGGGAGCAAACAGGAUUAGAUACCCUGGUAGUCCACGCUGUAAACGAUGUCGAUUUGGAGGUUGUGCCCUUGAGGCGUGGCUUCCGGAGCUAACGCGUUAAAUCGACCGCCUGGGGAGUACGGCCGCAAGGUUAAAACUCAAAUGAAUUGACGGGGGCCCGCACAAGCGGUGGAGCAUGUGGUUUAAUUCGAUGCAACGCGAAGAACCUUACCUACUCU